Molecule: transfer RNA, 78 nt
Filed under: Marmota monax (woodchuck)
Lineage: Eukaryota; Metazoa; Chordata; Mammalia; Rodentia; Sciuridae
Description: tRNA.Glu
Source: RNAcentral
GGGGUUGUGGCUCAGAGGUAGAGCACUCACCACUCGCCUACCAUUAGUGAGGCACUGGGUUCGAUCCCCAGUACCACA